UACGUAGGUGGCGAGCGUUGUCCGGAUUUAUUGGGCGUAAAGGGAACGCAGGCGGUCUUUUAAGUCUGAUGUGAAAGCCUUCGGCUUAACCGAAGUAGUGCAUUGGAAACUGGAAGACUUGAGUGCAGAAGAGGAGAGUGGAACUCCAUGUGUAGCGGUGAAAUGCUUAGAUAUCACGAAGAACUCCGAUUGCGAAGGCAGCUUACCGGAGCGCAACUGACGCUGAGGCUCGAAAGUGUGGGUAGCAAACAGG
This 253-nucleotide ribosomal RNA is filed under the name Ligilactobacillus ruminis. RNAcentral describes it as "partial 16S ribosomal RNA". It matches the Rfam family "Bacterial small subunit ribosomal RNA", at positions 524 to 776 of the family's 1533-position model. The record is from RNAcentral. Lineage: Bacteria; Bacillati; Bacillota; Bacilli; Lactobacillales; Lactobacillaceae.